This is a long non-coding RNA of Oryza brachyantha (malo sina), 351 nucleotides long. RefSeq lists it as uncharacterized. The record is from RefSeq and is a predicted model, not a curated record. NCBI's taxonomy places the organism in Eukaryota, Viridiplantae, Streptophyta, Magnoliopsida, Poales, Poaceae. The transcript has 3 exons.
UUCUUCUAAACCCAUGAAUAUGAAUGUUAAAUAUUUAGUAUGUUGUCUUCUGGAACCCACAAGCUGAUCUGCAAGCUCAGGACCAUGCACAUAGGAUAGAUCAGAAGAAAGAAGUUCAAGUUUUCCAGUUUUGCACCGAGUAUACCAUUGAGGAGAAAGUGAUUAAGAGGGCAUACAAGAAGCUUGCGUUGGAUGCUUUGGUCAUCCAACAAGGCCAACUGGCAAAGCAGAAGUCUGUCAAUAAGGAUGACCUGUUGCAGAUUUGGUACUGAAAUGGUGUUCAGUUCCAAGGACAGCACAAUUACAGAUGAGGAUAUUGAUCGUAUUAUAGCUAAAGGAGAAGAGACAACA